AGGCUUACACAUGCAAGUCGAACGGUCUCUUCGGAGGCAGUGGCAGACGGGUGAGUAACGCGUGGGAAUCUACCUUUUGCUACGGAACAACAGUUGGAAACGACUGCUAAUACCGUAUGUGCCCUUCGGGGGAAAGAUUUAUCGGCAAAGGAUGAGCCCGCGUUGGAUUAGCUAGUUGGUAGGGUAAAGGCCUACCAAGGCGACGAUCCAUAGCUGGUCUGAGAGGAUGAUCAGCCACACUGGGACUGAGACACGGCCCAGACUCCUACGGGAGGCAGCAGUGGGGAAUAUUGGACAAUGGGCGCAAGCCUGAUCCAGCCAUGCCGCGUGAGUGAUGAAGGCCCUAGGGUUGUAAAGCUCUUUCACCGGUGAAGAUAAUGACGGUAACCGGAGAACAAGCCCCGGCUAACUUCGUGCCAGCAGCCGCGGUAAUACGAAGGGGGCUAGCGUUGUUCGGAUUUACUGGGCGUAAAGCGCACGUAGGCGGACUUUUAAGUCA
Molecule: ribosomal RNA, 499 nt
Filed under: Ochrobactrum sp. ZY-2006g
Lineage: Bacteria; Pseudomonadati; Pseudomonadota; Alphaproteobacteria; Hyphomicrobiales; Brucellaceae
Description: bacterial SSU rRNA
Rfam family: Bacterial small subunit ribosomal RNA
Source: RNAcentral